GGGGACUUGGCCUCAGUAGUUGAUCCAUCCAACUGCUCAUGAUAAAUUUCAGUAAACAGGCUAGGGGGAGCAACAACACCACUUUCUAGUAAUACAUCAUGAAGUUUCUGGGCUAACUGUGGAUUCUCUUUGGCAGCAUCAAUCAUGUAUUGCGAAACAUCUUUCACUUUCAUUCUACGUACGGCAGGAGAGCUAACACCUUCAGUCCAUGAAGGACAUCUUGCAUGUGCAAAAGGAUAAUUAGGCCUGCUAGGACCCUCCCGCACCAGCACCUUCUCUGCAUUGGAAGGGUUCUUAAAAUCAUCUAAGGACGUCUUGGCUUCUUCUUCACCUUUAAUUAUCCUGGUCAAAUUUGCAAAUUCAUUAAAUUCACACCUGUCCUCAGAUUGGUUUCCUGCAGCAGAAACAUUCCUGAAUCUGGAUCUCUUCUCCAAGGUCCCAGCAUCUGAAUGUUCUUCAAAUG
Molecule: unclassified non-coding RNA, 463 nt
Filed under: Hevea brasiliensis (rubber tree)
Lineage: Eukaryota; Viridiplantae; Streptophyta; Magnoliopsida; Malpighiales; Euphorbiaceae
Source: RNAcentral